Molecule: ribosomal RNA, 459 nt
Filed under: uncultured bacterium
Lineage: Bacteria
Description: partial 16S ribosomal RNA
Rfam family: Bacterial small subunit ribosomal RNA
Source: RNAcentral
CCUACGGGAGGCAGCAGUGAGGAAUAUUGGUCAAUGGCCGCAGGGCUGAACCAGCCAAGUCGCGUGAGGGAUGACGGUCCUAUGGAUUGUAAACCUCUUUUGUCAGGGAGCAAAGGGCGCCACGUGUGGCGCUUUGCGAGUCCCUGAAGAAAAAGCAUCGGCUAACUCCGUGCCAGCAGCCGCGGUAAUACGGAGGAUGCGAGCGUUAUCCGGAUUUAUUGGGUUUAAAGGGUGCGCAGGCGGAAUGUCAAGUCAGCGGUAAAAUUUCGGGGCUCAACCCCGUCGUGCCGUUGAAACUGGCGUUCUUGAGUGAGCGAGAAGUAUGCGGAAUGCGUGGUGUAGCGGUGAAAUGCAUAGAUAUCACGCAGAACUCCGAUUGCGAAGGCAGCAUACCGGCGCUCAACUGACGCUCAUGCACGAAAGCGUGGGUAUCGAACAGGAUUAGAUAUCCCAGUAGUC